UAGGGCUGGGUUCGGUUCUUAUCGGUUCGGUUUUUUGCCAAAACCGAAACCAAACCGAAAUUUCGGUUCGGCCCAAAUUUUUUUCGGUUUUUUUCGGUUCGGUUUUUUUUUCGGUUCGGUUUCGGUUUUUUUUUCGGUUUUUUUUUCCUCCAAAAAAUGCAAAACAACCACAACAUUACUUGAGUUAUAUGCCAAGCAUCCAUUUCUUUAUUUGGUUCACAGAGUGCCUAGUAUUUGGGUCAUUGUUCAAAGAAGCCUUUCCUCUAUGGAAAACAAAUACAAAGCCAUAAACAAAAUAAGAGACGCAAAAGAAUUUAAUUCCCUUUUUAAGACUACACAGAGGAAGAACCAUAUGAAAAUCCCAAUGGGUCUUUGCUAAAACUUUACAACAAACCGAAAAACUUGAACUCAGCAAUUUUAGGUACUAACCUUUCACCUUCAUGCAUUUUCUCACUAACCAAACAUAUACAUUUUCUCACCUCAAAAUCCCGAAUAUAUUCAAGUAAUUCAACUACUUAUGAUCAAGCAGAUCGAGUUCAAAUUUUCAAAACUUAAGCAAAUACAGAAACAUAUAUUCUUCAAGUACAUCGCCAGGAUUCAAAAUUCUAAAAAUUUAAAAUUUACAAAAUCAUGAAAUAAUUCAACAAAUUAAGAUGCAGAUCGAAACACAAAAAAAAGCAAAUAAGUUCAUCUAAGUGUCAUAAUCGGACUCCAAUAUCGCAUGCCCAGUGCCCACAUUCAAAUUCAUAGUCAAGUCCACAAUAGAUCUAGAAAAUUCCGAAACAUAUUCAAAGAAAAAUACAAACUUUUUCACCUUAAAUUACAUAAAUUUCAAAUGGGUAACCAUAAAAUCGCCAUGAUCAUAAAAUUAAAAACCCAUGAACUGACAAAUAAAUAAAACCCACAACCUUUGCUGCAGCAAAAUCGCCAUGAUCAUCGCAAGCUCUAACAGUUCCUCUUUUCGUCGGGUCUCGAAAGGGGCGAGCGAAAAUCAUGAUUUGGAAGAAGGAAUCCGUGAGGAGGACAUGAGAAGCCUAGAGAGAAAGUGAUUUGGAGGAAGAGAGGAAGGAGAGGGAGAGGGAGACAGAGAGAGGGAGACAGAGAGACUGAGGAAGCAGCGGACGGAAGAAAGAAGUGUGAGAUCUGAAAUGAAAUGGGAGUGAGACGUCGGCUAGGGUUUGUAAAGUUAAGAAAUUUUAUAAAGCAUUAAACAUAAGAAACCUAUAAAUAUAUUACUGGUACAAUUACAACAACACAAAGUCUACAGUUAAGUUGGCUAGCAGCACCUUACCCCAACCCGCAGGUCAGGGGUUCAAACCUUGACGCGGCCAACAUAUUUUUUUUUUUUUUAUAAAUGAUUUUUUUUUUCGGUUCGGUUCGGUUCGGUUUGGUUUCCGGACCUCAAAAAUUGAAACCAAACCAACCAGAUUCGGUUCGGUUCGGUUUGGCAGUUUCGGUUCGGUUUUUUUUCGGUUCGGUUUUUUUCGGCCUCGGUUCGGUUUGGUUUUCGGUUUUUUCGGUUUUCGGUUUUUUGAACCCACCCCUACUACCUAUGUACCAUUGGCGAGAUCAAACCAGCGUAGUUAAUUGAUGAAUUGGUUUGGGAUUUUCAAUGAGUGAAUGACUCACUGAAAAAGAAAGAUUUGGUAUUUGGUUUAUUUGAAUACUCUGGAUUUAUUUGAGUGAACUUGGCUAAAUGAACUAUGGAUUCGAUUUUGACUUUGUAGGGAAAUUAUCUAUUCUAAAGUAGAAGGGGGGGCAGACACUGUUCAAUUUUUUUUUAUUAUUAUUUUGCUUUAUUUACAACAAAACCAUGGGAUUUGGGGUUGGGUUGGAAGGUAGUUACUAAAAGUUAGGAGGGUAAUUUUGUCUUUUGAGGUCGAUUCCUCCCCCCUCGAUUUUGCUUUAUUUACAACAAAACCGUGGGAUUUGGGGCUGGGUUGGAAGGUAGUUUUUAAAAGUUUGGAGGUUCAUUUUGUCUCUGAACAGCCACUGGGUUCCAGAAAAUUUUUAUUGUGUAAAAUGACAAGGCUGCCCAUCUCAUCUUCAGAUCCCACGGUUUGGAUGAUGAGUUAGAGGGGUAUAAUUGUCUUUUUAUCAAUAGGGUUUCAGAUUGGGGUUAUGGCAUGUUUACGCAUCUGGAAUGGAGGUAGAAGAAAAUGAAUCGAAUUCUUCCGUGGGUGAUUCCGACGUUUACCAAAUUUUGGGAAUGCAAAAUAUUAGUGGGCUCCACCCAAAAUUAGGAAUCAAACUCCUGAUAUUCCCGAAAUUGAAUUACCGACUUCGAUGAGGUAUUUGAAUUCCGGAAGAAAGCCAACAUCCGGAAUCAGAAUUUUCAACCGAAACUACCUUUUCAUAUUCAACCUUUUCCAUCUGCCUCUUGCGAUUCAACCACCCAAAGCGCACCCAUCCCCACUCCUCCAUCUGCCUUCUGCGAUUCAACCACCCAAAGCGCACCCAUCCCCACUCCUGAACCAACGCACACCACCGCAGCACCUCCCAGACUGCCAAUACCCAUCACCAACCCACCCCAAAAUUCUACCCAACAGAUCCCCGAUAGCCCCAUAUCCAAAUCCGAAAAAGGAAAGAGAGAGAGAGAGAGAGAGAGAGAGAGAGAGAGAGAGAUGCAAAGGGAGGUUGACGCGUCGGGAGUGGCAAGAGUUGGCGUUUGGGGAUGAUCGGAGAAACAAAUUGAGGAGGAUGCAGAGGGAGAGAAUAAUGGGUUUUGUGGAACUGUGGAGGUUCCAGAAGCUUAACCUUUUUUUUUUCUUUUUUUUCUGUUCAGCUUUUACUAUUUAAUAAACAAAAAGGUUCUAUUGAAAAUAAACAUAUGGAAGUUAGAAUUUUAAGUAAAUUAAAACAUAUAUACUAGUGUGAAAUUGAUUUAAAAUUUUUCUUACUAUUAUAUACUAUAUCAAAUGUUAUUAAAAAAGUAUAUAAAAUAUUUGAUUUGAGACAAAAGCAUUUUAGUAAUCAGACUAGUUUAUAUUCCGAUUCUGCUGAAUUAGUAAACAGCUUUAUGGAAUUGUAUUCCGAUUCCGGACAGUUUUAGUAAACAACUUCAACAGGAAUCUGAUUUUGAUUCCACCUCAUUUCAAUUCCUCCUCAAUUCAAUUCGUCUCAAUUUGAUUACGGAUUAAACGCGCCAUUAGUUCCUUCCCCCAUCACUUCGUUCUUUCUUCGGCGCAUUCAAAGCCAUGCCGAUCUUGGCAUGGCAGAGUGGAACGGAGAUAGUGAGAGAAAGAGCGAGUGACAGUGAGAGAAAGAGAGAAUGGUUGUCCGGAGAACAGAGAGAGAAACAGAGAGGGAGGGGUUGGGAUGGUAAGUUCUUAUGAAUUUACUCUUUAACAGUGAGGUCAUUUGCAACCAUUUAUUUAAACAUUUGAUUAAGUAAACGUUUUGAUUGUGUAUUUAUUUAAGGGAGUUUUAAUGAAAAGGGCUUGGUACUAUUCAUUCUUAACCAUAAGGACAUUUUAUGUAUGAAAAGUCUAUAAUAGAUCAAACUCUUCUCUUUAUUUACUCUUAUGCCAUUACAUGCGGACCACAACGAUGUUGACAUUUCUGUCUAGAAAUACAUUAUGAUGCUAUUCAUCUUAUGCUAAUUUACAGCUAGUUCUUCAGGCUUCCAUCAUGUUGUCGAUGGUAUGCAGCUCUUCUUCUGACAAAUUAUUCCAAUACUGUUCAUCGCCUUCUACUAGCUCCGCAUCUCUUUCUCUAUCUUCUUUCACCUUGUAAUAUAUUUCCGUUGUUUCUUCUUUGAAAUUUUGGGGCUUCCAAUAAGGCUGAUGACUGAUUCUUGUCUUGCUGUAAAUAUACAUCUCUUAUUCUUCUGCUACUAGUACCAUAUCAUACCUAAAAUCUUCAAACUCAUCUAAAGCAAACAUUUGGAUCCCUCUAAAUUUUAAAAUAUCUUUGUAUGAAGGAGUCCACCUAUGUGAGGAGAUAGGGUUUAGUCUUAAGAACUUUUCAUUGAUCAUGGUUAUAUGCCUAGCUUUCUCCUUAUGCAUGUGUACAUACCAAUCUGGAGGACUACUAAUAAAACUUAUGCAAAUUUCUUUCCACCUUUCUAGAUAGUCUUCUGCUACUUUAAUAAGCUUUUCAGGAAAUGAUUCUAGUUGAGAAAUACGGUUAAUAAAUAUUUUAUCGAGAUAACCAAACUCUAAUAGUAAGGCAGGGGUGACUUCUACCUCAUUAUGCUUUUUCUGAUGCUCAUAACUAAAAUGCCAUGAUUUAAAAUCUCUCAUGUCAAUCCUGGCCACAGCUACGCUAACUUCUGGUUUACAAAUACAAUUCUCUGUACUAUCACAAAGACAUGGAGGAUACAUCUUUGUAAUAAUAUUCAUCCCUGGUUUUGGAUCAAAGAUGGACUGAUACAAGGCGCAUUGUAAUUGUAAUUGUAACUCUUUCAUGGACUGUGAUGCUCUGCUCAGGAUCUCAUUUUGCAUAUCUGUUGGCAUUAUUCUUAGUUUUGCUUUUGAAAUUUCUUCUAAUAAAACAUCGUCUAAUAUUAAGUCUGAAGAUAUAUUUCUAAGAAAACUUUCAUAUUUUUCUUGUUUUUCUUUGUCACUCAGAACCUGAUGUUGAUCAUUACUUUGAUGUUGCUCCAUUUCAACGUCUUCUUCUAAGAGCUCAAUCUUAAUUUCUUCUAUGGGUUCAUUAGCCUCUUGUUCUAUGGGUUCAAUAACCUCUUUUCCUUUAUACUGAUCAAUUUCUAAACCUAUUUUUAAUUCUCUUUUCAAGGUGUCACUUGCCUUUUGCUGCAUUCUAAGAGAUUGGAGUUCUUGGUUCAUUUUGGUAAACUUACCAAGUAAUGACUCAUGGUCCCUAGAAAUGGCUUGAAGAUUGUGCUCAAGAGAAUAAAUAUGCUGCUGGUUUUGGUGGAAAUUAAAAUUAAAGCUAUCAAACUCUUGUUCCAAGGCUCUAAUUAAUUUUUCAUGACCUAACCUCAUGCUUGGCUGCUUAAUUUGGAUAUUCCAGAAAUUAUCUAAGAGAACCUGCUGCCUAUCAGAAAGAAAGCCCCGGUACCCUUGACCUGUAUCUCAGAGUUGGAUUUCUGAUUCCUUCAACAGUAUUGCCAUUAAAGUUGAACGUGGGUACUCGUGGUGAUGCUGGUCUGCUCAUGCUAUUUUGAAAUCCACUGAAUGGUGGAGGUUGAUGGUGCAUCAUCAUGCCAUUGAAAGAAACUCUUCUGCCUUGCGGCCUUGUGCUAUUUGCUGAUGAUGGUCCACGAUAUUCCAUACCUGUUCAACAAAUUAAUCUUGAUAAGAUAUCAGCUAAUGUAUUGUCAUUACCUUUUAUAUGUUCAAAAAUUGGUUUAAAACCAUUUCCUGUAAUUGAAUCAACAAAAUUAACCCAUCUUCGGGCUGCCUGUUUAUUAGCAUGUAUCUUGUUAUAAUGAGAAACUAUAUUUUGACAAUCUGUUCUAAUCGUAAAUACUUCAUUAUGUAAAAAUAAAGAAAAUGUUUCAAGUGAAUUAAUUAUCCCUAAAAUUUCUAAAUAUGUUGAUGGUAAUCUUGACUGUACAUCACUAAACUUUCCUGAGGAAUAUUUACAAACUUGUUCGUCAGACUUUGGAGACUCCCUAUGCUUUUUCUGGUAUAGUAUAUCUGCCCAUCCUAAUGAUGAAGCAUCUGUUUCGACUAUCUUAUAACUAUCAUCUAAUGGUAAUGUUAAUGGCUUAAGUUUAGUAAUUUCUUCUUUUAUUUUUUUUGAACUAAUUUAAUAUCUUCACUAUUAAAAUAUUUUUGUCCCGUUUUGCUAGUUUUACUAUGUAAUACUGCUAUUUUUCUUCCUAAAUCAGGGAUAAAAUUUCUUGCAUAAUUUAGCAAUCCUAAAAAUGCUUGUAACUGUUUCUUAUCUUCUAAUUUGUUUGGAAAUUCUAAUACCUUUUUAGCUAUAUGAUCUUGUAAUUGUAUCGUACCUGACUUGAUAUACAUUCCUAAAAAUUCUAUAUCUUGCUUUUCUAAUGCUAUUUUAUUUUUGCUAAUCACAAUCCCAUUAUUAAUAAAUUCUUGUAAAACUAUCUCUAAAUGCUUCCUAUGUUCAUUUCGAUUUUUACUAUGUAUUAAAAUAUCAUCUACAUAAACACUACAAAAAUUAUCAUAUUUCUUGAAAAUUUGAUCCAUCUUUCUUUGAAAGAUCGAUGGAGCAUUUUUAAGUCCAAAUGGCAUAACAAGCCACUCAAAAUGUCCUUCUGGACAAGUAAAAGCUGUACACCCAAUUGAUUCUUCUGCUAAUCGUAUUUGCCAAAAUCCUGAUUUACAAUCAAAUUUACUAAAAUAUUUACUUUGUUGAAUUUUAUUUAUAAGUUCAUCUUUAUUUGGUAACUUAUAACUAUCUUUAUAUGUAUUAUCAUUUAAUCUCUUAUAAUUAUAAACUAUUCUAGCCUUUCCUCUUUUUAGCUCUGAAUGUUUUCUUACUACAAAUGCUGAUGAUCUGUGUCUGGACUUAGAGGGUCUAAUUACUUUUAAAUUUAACAACUCUUUUAUUUGCUGCUCAAACUCUUGUUUAUCUAUUAGACUACAAGGCAUAUCAACCGUCUUAAUGGUUAAAUCUGGGUUAAUUAUAUCUAAUUUUGCUAGUAUUUUAUUUUUGCUCCAAUGUAACUGUGGGUCUUCUCCUAUAAUCCUAGUUUGUUCUGCUAAUUGUAACAAUUCUUCUAAACUCUUUGGUCUGUCUAACUGUAAGAUUUCUAUACGGGUUCCUUCAUCUAUAAUUGGAUAUUCGUGUUUAAAUAUUUCUUCAUCAAACGCAAACUCUUUUAGAUUAUUAUGCUCAUCAUUUUCUUUUGAAUUUUCCAAAUAAUAAUUGUCUUGACUACUAGAUUCUUCUAUACUUAUACUUUUGUAUGCUUCUAUGGUAUUACUUUGGUCAAUUAUUGUAAUUCCUCUUUUGAAAAAUGUUAUGCUAGGGUUCAUAAAUAAAAAACCUUGUAAACUUUUCAAAAAGUUUAAACCUAGAAUGAAUGGGUAUGAUCCUACUGGUGAGACAAAUGUUAAUGGUAGAUUAAAUUGUUGUUUUUCCACUUUAAUGGACUCAUUAUUAAUGCAAUGUGUUAAAUAGACUGGUCUUUCAUCAAACUGCGUUAUUUUCACUGGUUUUGCUAAUUUUUGUCUAUACUUUUCUGGUACUAACUCCUCUCUUAUGACACUCUUAGUACUUCCUGUAUCUAUCAUAGCUGUUGUUUGUAUCUUAUGUUCUUUUGCUAAUUCUAUUUCACAAUUUAUGGUAAUUAAAGAACUAUUUUUUGGCUUUUCUAUACUAUAAACAGUAUUUCUUAAUAUUUCAGUGCUUUCUUGUGAUUCUGCUGAAUUAAUUUCUAAUAACUUAUUAUUAUAACAAUUUUCACACAAUAUUGAAUAUGUAUUAUAGUAUUUAUUUGCAACUAAUUUAAUACACUUAUGACAUUUUUCUGCCCAACCUAAAUUAAUGUAUUUAUAUUCUUCUUCAUGCUGUUCUUCUAUGAAGGCACACAUAUUAUCUAUUCUAAAAUUGAGGAGUGAAUUAACUGUAGCUUGCCUACAGUCACAGGUUUGCCAUCCAAUUUCACCUUAUUUACAGAAGAACCCAUCACAUUCGGCCUGGUGUUAGGGCUGGGUUGUUUUGGGCCGCACAUCAAGCUUUCGCUGGGCUUUGUCAUUUGCUGUUGUGAGGCCGGCCCUUUGGGGGUCUAAAUGACGACACUGCCCAUCUGGGCUCACCAUCAGGAUUAAAGUUAAAGGGGUAGAGUUGUCAUUUCGUUCUUAGGGUUUCACAGGUAUUGGGGUUAGGUUUUCCCACUUCCCAUCAUUUCCUUCUUCUUUCUUCGGGCUAGCCGUGACGCACAGAGAAAUAAGGAGCCCUGACAGAGAGGGAUAGAUAGAGACAGAUAAAGAGAGAGAGAGGGAGAGGGAGAGGGAGAGGGAGAGGGGAGCGGUAAGGGCGGGAUGGCUGCCCAUCUGUGCUUCAAUCCAUGCCGUCACAGAGAGAUGGAGACAGAUCGAGAGAGAGAAAGAGAGAUAGAGAGAGAUAUAUAUAGAGAGAGCGAGAGGGGAGAGGUGGGGGUUCGGAUCACUGCUCAUUCUCUGUUGCAUCGUCAGAUAAGUGUUGUUUCAAAUUUAAUUUUGUACCAAAUUUUACUUUUUUUAAUUGUUUCUUGCAUUUAUGGUUACCUGCAUGUGGUGAUUGAAAGGUCAAAAAAAAUUUGCAAAUCUUUUUUCCAUAUUUGGUUAGGUUAGUCUUCUGUAUUUUUUUAAUCCGUUUGGGGAUUUUCUGGGUCUCUAUAUAUGGUUGCUUUUGGGUUUUGCAUCUCAUUCUCGGUUUCUCUCUGUCAGAUAAUAUUUCCAACGUUCGUUCCUUACCUUUUUUUUACGUUUUCUAAUUUUUCAUCUCAGCUUUUGCCAUUCGUGUUUGAUUACAAUAUUUAUGGCUGUAAUAAACCCUUUGAGUGUAUUGUUAGCUUCUGUUUAGACUAUUGUUAGUUGUUGUUAAGUUGCUGCCAUUUUUUGGUAAUUAGUAUUCAAAUUUUUUUUUUUUUUGAAAGAAGUUUGUGUUCUGUGAUUUGAAUUGGAACAAAAUCAGUAAACACAGCAGAUUGAUUUACAAUCUGUGAUUUUCUUAAAAAAUGCCAUAUUUAGGUUGAGCUAUGUUUUAAAUUAUUUGUUUUUUUGCCUCUGUGACUGUGUAUGUAGAUGUCUGUGUGUAUGUGCAAAUAUUUUUGAGCGUAUCGUUGGCUUCUGUUUUAGACUAUUAUUAGUUGUUGUUAGGUUGCUGCCAUUCUUUAAUAAUUAGUGUAAAAUUUUGUUUUUUUUUUAAAGAAGUUUUUCUUCUGUGAUUUGAAUUGGUAAUUAGUGUGUAAAACCCUUUGACUAAUUUUAAUGCGAUAUUUUUAUUUCGAUUGUUUAAGAACAAGAAAACUAACUUUUCUUCUCUUUUUUAUGGAUUGCAGGAAACGUACUGCCAACUCGGGAUUUUGCAUGGUUGCUUUUGGGUUUUGCAUCUCAUUCUCGGUUUCUCUCUGUCAAAUAAUUUUUCCAGCGUUCGUUCCUUACCUUUUUUUUACGUUUUCUAAUUUUUCAUCUUAGCUUUUGCCAUUCGUGUUUGAUUACAAUAUUUAUGGCUGUAAUAAACCCUUUGAGUGUAUUGUUAGCUUCUGUUUAGACUGUUGUUAGUUGUUGUUAAGUUGCUGCCAUUUUUUGGUAAUUAGUGUUAAAAUGUUUUUUUUUUUAAAGAAGUUUUUAUUCUGUGAUUUGAAUUGGAACAAAAUCAGUAAACACAACAGGUUGAUUUACAAUCUGUGAUUUUUUUUAAAAAUGCCAUAUUUAGGUUCAGCUCUGUUUUAAAUUAUUUGUAUUUUUGUCUCUGUGACUGUGUAUGUACAUGUCUGUGUAUGUACAUGUCUGUGUGUAUGUGCAAAUAUUUUUGAGCGUAUCGUUAGCUUCUGUUUUAGACUGUUAUUAGUUGUUUUUAGGUUGCUGCCAUUCUUUAAUAAUUAGUGUAAAAUUUUGUUUUUUUUUAAAGAAGUUUUUUUGCUGUGAUUUGACUUGGUAAUUAGUGUGUAAAACGAUGGGAAGUUUAACUGUUUGCGGAUUAAUCUUGGUUUCAUUUUCCGUAUGUGUUUAUUUUUGGCCAAUGAAUUUUAGAGUGUUGUUAUUUGUUGUUAAGUUGCUGCCAUUUUUUGGUGAUUGGCAUUAAAAACCUUUAUUUUUUGAAGAGGUUUUUUUUUUUGGGUGAUUUUAAUUGGAACCCUUUAACUACACAUGUUUUUAGAGUGUGCACAUCUAUAUGUAUGUGUGUGUACAUGUAAAAAACUCUGUAACUCACUGCACAUUUUUAUAACUGUGAAACACUCCCAUUUGCUGAAAAGUGCAGUUUAUAUGUGUACAUGUGUAUAAAUGUAUGUGCAAGUAUAUGUGUCAGUGUAUACCUAAGUAUAUGUCUAGAUAUAUGUAUAGGCGCCUAUAUAACUAUAUGUAUAUCUGUGUACAUGUGUAUAUGUAUGUAUGGGCACCUGUAUAACUAUAUUUAUAUCUAUGUACAUGUAUAAGUACCUGUACAACUAUAUGUAUAUACGUAUGUAUGCAUGCAUGCAUCUGUGUGUAUGUCUGUAUGUACAUGUAUAUGUAUGUAUGCAUGCAUGCAUCUGUGUGUGUAUGUACAUGUAUAUGUAUGUAUGCAUGAUGUGUGUGUAUGUACAUGUAUAUGUAUGUGUACAUGCAUCUGUAUGCGUCUGUCUGUGUAUGUACAUGUAUAUGUAUGCAUGCAUGCAUCUGUAUGCGUGUGUGUGUAUAUACAUGUAGAUGUGUGUAUAUGUAAGGUUUAGGGUUUAGAUAAUUUGUGUGUGAGUGUGGUCUUUAAUGUUUGGGGAAAAUUUCUAAGUUGGUUACUAUUACAGGAUUAGUGGUGAUGGAUUUGCUAUGUUUGUGAAUUUCAGAAAUUUGGAUACUCGAAGGAAACACUUGGGCCUUUAGCUUUUUGAGGUAUAUUCAUUAAUGGCGGUUUUCUAACUAUAGAAUAGCAUUCAUUUCCAAUAUUUUUGGUAUUUUGCCAUGGUUGUAAUUCACAUUUAAAGGUGUAAAAACAGGUGUGUUGUAUAUAUAUAUAUGGAGUUGGAAUAUAUGUCGACUGUUACAAGCAAAUAUAGUGUUGACUUAUAAACGAUUUUCCCAUCCUCAUUUACAUGUUCAAUGUAGACUUAAUUAUGCUAAUCAGCCUCUGUUGCAAAAACGAAUCUCCUUUGUGGCUAAGUGAAAACAUGCAGAUCAUCUUAUUUUAUUAAUUUCAGCAUAAAUUAACACUUGCAUUUGAUCAGUGUGAGUAAGUAUGUAAUGUAUGGAAAAAAAAACAGUUUAGUUUCAUUACGAUUUAUUCAAAAAGAUUUAUAAAUAUUUGCCUUCGCGUAUUGUUUACUUAUAAAAAAAAAUUGAAUUAUUUGGUUCAUUAACAUUAUAUUUAAUUUGUGAUUCAGAGAAAAUAAAAUGGUGAAAGAGAUCGAUCGAAAAGAACAACAAAUUUUAGGAGGGGUUUUGGUAAAAGAUUUAAGAAGCUUGGUAAUAGCUCGAAAAGAAGAACAGCUUCGAGGGACAAAAUUGUUUUAUUCAGAGACUGGUCCAGGACCCAGCACAUCAAGAGCACGAAAAAUAGAAAAAACAAGAAUGGGUUUACGUGUCUAUGGAAAAGGUGUCAAUCGAAACAAAUUAGUGGUUCACACUAUGUAUUCACCUAGAAAUCGUAGUAAUCCACCGAAAGAAAAAUGGGCAGAAGAGCUUUUUUGGGUUGUACAAUUGGAUUUGCAAGUUUGAUCGCCCAAAGAAGAUUGGGAUGCUCCUUCUCUGGUUCAUCUCCACUGUAGUGGUUUUUUGGAUUUUAAAAAAUAUGUAGGGAUCAUCUAGAUUUUAAAUUUUUAAAAAAGGUUUUGUAAACCUUUUUUGGUUGCUUGGUAACCAUAAUGAUGUAAACGAUGAAGUGGUUUUUUGAAUUGUAAAAUAUGUAGGGAUGGGUGGAAUUUUGAAUUUUAUAAAAAAGGUUGCGUAAACUUUUUUGUUGGCUUACAAGCAUAAUGAUGUAAACAAUGAUCACCCUUAUCGAUAUAAUAAUUAAGUGUUGUUGCUACUCAUUUUCACACCUUUGUGGCUUUGAUUAAUUCAUUUUUGCCUUUGACAAAAAAAAAAAUAUAUAUCAUUUCUACCUUAAUGCAAUUUUUCCCUGAUUUUGUGAUUUGACAAAAUUGAUGUUCAUAUUCCAUUUACUAAAUCACAAAAAUAAUCACAUUAUUCAGUGGUGAUUCAUGUUUUGCUUCUGCUUUGAUUUACUUUGAUUUUUUUGUUAUUUAUUUUUAUUAGCUGGUUAAUCCAUUGUUUAGCUAGGAUUGUUCUUCUUAUUUUUUAUUCCAUUGUGUUGUGUAUGUGCUUACAUUUUUAGCCUUUUUUGGUUGGUUAUUUUUUUAUUAUCCAGGUUUUCGCAAUUAAUUGCUUACGCUUGCCAGUGAUUCCUUUUGCAACUGAAACUGGUUAGCUUUCUCGAUUUUUACAUAUGAAUUGGUUUUAAAAUUAAACAUUAAUCUCAUUUACUUUCUUUAUUUUAUUUUAGAGGAUUAAAAAAAGUAGUUAGUUUUGGUAAAUGUGGAUGAAUGUUUUAGGUCUUACCAUAGUUUACAUGUGGUUUCUUUGAUUUUGUUAUUUAUGCCUAAAAACUUGAGAAUGUUUGACAAGACCGCUAAUAUUAAGUGGUUUUUAUUGCUGGUGUUGACCUAAUUUAAUUAGAUGAUUUAAUUAGGAUUUUGUUUUUGUGGUUAUAUUUUGGAUGUAUUUGUGUUUUUUAAUAGUGCAUUCUUUACGUGUGGCGAUUUGAUUUGUAAGUAAGGCUUAGUCAUUCGCAUGUUCUUUUUGUUUUUAUUUGCGUAGUAUUAUGCCUAGAAAAGUCCGAAUAUCUGCGAGGGCAGCUAAAAUUCAACACACCAACUUAGGCGUUUUCAAUGGCGAUGUUUAUCCGGAUGAUGUGAUUUUGCAAGAUGUCCCAACUUCUUAUGAUCAAGAAUAUAACAAAGUUUCACACUCUUUACUGUUUCAUAACAAUACAACCAAUCAUGUCCAACCCAAUACAUCUGUUUUUGAAACAAAAUGCAUUCAUUGCCAAUGGAUUCAACUCAUCUUCGUCCGCUGCUAGCACUUCACAUGAAAUUACCAUCCCUGUUUUCCUUGCCAAUGAUGCCACUUUGCGUGGUAUAUUGAUCUCUGAUACUCAAGACGAUCAUCCUGUUAGAAGCUCACAUGUGAUUGGCCAGGCCGCUUAUCAAAAAAAAAGAAAACGUAUGCGCUCUCUGACAAUAUAGUCCUCUUUGCAUUGUUUUUAAACUUAUUUUAGAAGUUAACUUUGGUUCGCUACUUUGGGGAUGAUUGUGUCAUCUUUCUUUUCAUAGGUGUUGAUCCAGACUAUGUUGAUUUUGGCCCUAGAAAUUCUCAAUGUCAAUAUUGUGGCGCUUUGUUUUGGUCUACUGAGCGGUUAAAAACAAACGUUUCUUCUAUUAGAAGGCCACAGUUCACUGCAUGCUGUAUGAGUCAAAAAGUUAAAUUCCCACCUGUUAAGCCCACUCCCUGCUUAUUUGGAACAUCUGCUAAAUUCAACAAAUUCUCAAGAAAGUUCGCAUUUCAAAACAAAUGUUAGGUUGUAUAAUUCAAUGAUGGCAUUCACUUCAAUGGGGGCUAAAGUUGAUGCAUCGAUAAACAAGGGUCAAGGUCCUUACGUUUUUAAGAUUAAUGGUCAAGUGCAUCAUUUAAUGGGUUCUUUGUUGCCUCCUGAAGGUGAGAGCCCUAAGUUUGCACAGCUCUACAUUUAUGACACUCAAAAUGAAAUCAAUAAUCGUAUGAGUUGUUUUCCUCAUUCAGAAGAAUCUUCGAAGGUUGACGAACAAAUUGUUAGUGGGCUCAUUAAGAUGUUAGAUGAGUGUAAUGAGUUGGUUCAGUUAUUUAGAGUCGCAAGGGAUAGGAUUAAUGAACAGUCAACAAGUUCUCUGCGCUUGCGUUUACACGGCACACCGAGCAACCAUGAUGCGCAAUAUAAUCUGCCAACAUGUGAUGGCAUAGGAGGGUUAAUAGUUGGGGAUAUCGGUCAGUUUCAUACCGAAAGAGAUAUUAUUGUUGAACACACAGGGCAACUGGCCUACAAAGGAUAACAAAGUUGCAUCCAAAAUAUAUGGCCCUUCAAUAUCCUCUUCUUUUCCCAUAUGGUGAAGAUGGAUACAGUAAAGGUCUCCCUUGGAAUCCAGAUUUCAAAGGGAAAAAACCCAAGACUGGCGGAGUGUCUAUGAGAGCAUUUGUGGGUUACCAAAUUCAGGAUAGACCAGGACAGGAUAGCACCCUGUUAAAGGGUGGCAGAUUAUUUCAACAAUAUUUAGUAGAUGCAUAUGCCACACUUGAAGAAGAUAGACUUGAUUUCAUUAGGGCAAAUCAAAAUUCCUUGAGAACUGAGCAUCUUAAGGGAAUUCAUGAGGCGUUGAGAAAAAGGAAAUGCAAGUGGUUCCGACAUUGGUAAGAGGAUUAUCUUGCCAACUUCAUUUACUGGCAGUGCUAGAUACAUGAUAAAUAUAUUAUCAGGAUGCUAUGGCUAUAUGCCGUCACUUAGGAAAUCCUGAUUUAUUUAUCACAUUUACAUGCAAUGCUAAGUGGCCUGAAAUUAUCGAAGAUCUACGUGAAAGACUUGGUUGUAGGGUUGAAGACAGACCAGACAUUGUAUCCAGAAUUUUCAAAGCAAAACUUGACCAUAUGGUUAAGUAUAUAAAAUCAGGAAAACCUUUUGGCAAAGUUGAAUCUGAUUAGUUAUUGUCUUUUCUCAGUUCUCAAGAUUAUUUGUUUCUUUUCUCUUAUAAGCAUAUACAUCAGGCGUUCUGUUUUGAUUUUUUUUUUAUCUUAUAUUUCUCAAAACAGUGAUUUACACAGUCGAAUUUCAAAAAAGAGGUCUCCCACAUUGCCACAUCUUGGUUUGGGUCAGUAAAGAGUAUAAGUGUCAUUCUCCUUCUGAUGUGGAUUCAAUCAUUUCGGCUGAAAUUCCUAACCCAGAAUUUGACAAAGAUGGGUAUGAUGUUGUUGCGCUGUACAUGAUUCAUGGUCCAUGCGGUCUUGCAAAUGAAAAAUCCCCUUGCAUGAAAGAAAAAAAAUGUUUAAAGAGAUUCCCAAAACAUUUUUCAAAUGAAACUACUUUUGAAUCUGAUGGUUUUUUGUGAAAUACAAGCGUAGAGAAAUGGAAAAUUGUUUUGUUGUAAAAAAUGGAGUGAAGCUUAAUAAUGCGUUUGUUGUUCCUUACAAUCGUGAAUUGUUAUUAAAGUAUCAAGCACAUAUAAAUGUUGAAUCGUGUUGUCAAUCAAUGCUUAUUAAAUAUCUUUUCAAGUAUAUAACCAAGGGUGUUGAUAGGGCCAGAGCUGUUUUUGAGGAUCAAGAGUUUGAUGAAAUUGUGGCUUAUCUAAAUUGCAGAUAUUUAUGCCCUUAUGAAGCAGUUUGGAGAUUGUUACAAUUUCAUAUUCACUUUAGAGAACCAGCUGUUCAAAGAUUGUGUGUCCAUCUUCCUUCUGACCAAAAUGUUGUUGUCUAAGAGGAUGAUAAUUUAAACUAUGUUGUUAAUCAACCUAAUCUUGAAAGCACAAUGUUAACAAAAUGGUUUGAAAUGAAUGCUCAAGAUCCUGAUGCAUGCCAGUUAUCUUAUGUUGAAUUUCCUUCGAAAUAUGUUUGGAAUAGUGAAAAUAAAGAGUGGACUCGAAGGAAAAGUGGUAGAUGUCUAGGUAGAGUUGCGUAUGUUCACCCUGCUGCUGGUGAAUUAUACUAUUUGAGAUUAUUGCUUAAUUAUCAAAAAGGUGGCUUUUGUUUUGAUGAUUUAAGAACAAUUAAAGGUGUUCUUCAACCCACAUUUCAAGCUGCAUGCAACUCACUAGGUCUGUUAGGAGAUGAUAAGGAGUGGAACAACGCAAUGUUAGAAGCGAUGGUUACUGCAUCAUCGUAUCAAUUGCGACAAUUGUUUGUUACAUUAGUUUUGUUUUGUGAUGUUGCUGAUCCAACAACUUUGUUUGAGACACAUUGGAAAAUGAUGUGUGAUGACAUCUUGACAAAGAUGGUUAAUGCUUUUGGCUUGCAGGAUAUGUCUAAGUAUGAGGAUGAACUUAGAAAUUCUCUUUUGUAUGAGUUAGAAAAGUUGUUUGUAGUUUCAAAUAGUUCUCUGUCUAAACAUCACCUCCCAGUUCCAAACAAAGAUUUGAUGGAUAGACUUAAGAAUAGAAGUUUAAGAGAGGAGUUAAACUAUGACUCUGAAUCACUUAAAGAACAACAUUCAAUAUUGAUGGCACAGUUGAAUCAAGAGCAAAAAAUAGUUUAUGAUAGUGUUAUAGAGGUUGUUGAUGGCAACAAGCCUGGUCUAUUUUUUGUUCAUGGACAUGGUGGAACUGGUAAGACUUUUUUGUGGACCACUAUCAUAGCUAAGAUUAGAUCAGAGAACCGUAUUGUUUUGGCGGUUGCUUCGUCUGGAAUUGCCUCCCUUUUGCUUCCUGGCGGAAGAACUGCACACUCUCGAUUUAAAAUGCCUAUCAGCAUUACAGAUUGUUCAAUUUGUGAAAUAAAAAAAGGAACUCAUCUAGCACAAUUAAUUAGUAAUGCAGCUCUUAUUGUUUGGGAUGAAGCACCAAUGAAUCAUAAACAAUGUUUUGAAACUUUAGAUAGAUCUCUUCGUGAUGUUCUUAAAGGGUCUAAACCAGGUUUUGAUAAUUUGCCAUUUGGAGGAAAGCCAAUUCUCUUUGGAGGUGAUUUUAGACAAAUUUUGCCUGUUGUUCCAAAUGGAACUAAAGCUGACAUUGUUGAAGCUUCAUUGACAAGUUCUUAUCUUUGGCCUUAUCUAACUGUUUUUUUUCUCAAAGAAAACAUGAGGCUUUCAAAAACUGGUUUGAAUGAGCAGGAAAAACAGGAGUUAGCUGAUUUUGCAAAUUGGAUAUUACAAAUUGGAAACGGUAAUGUUGCUAAUUCUAUAUUGUCAACUGAUGAAGAAAGUUCUUGGGUUGAAAUUUCAAAAGACUUUCUUAUUAAUUUUGAUGAUGAUCCUAUCGAAAAUAUGGUUUCAGCGGUGUACACAGAUUUUAAAACAAAUUUUCAUGAUGUAUCAUAUUUGAAAGAAAGAGCCAUUGUCACACCGCGAAACAACACGGUAACUGAGAUAAAUGAUUUUAUGUUGACUAUGGUGCCUGGCGAAGCUCGCACGUACCUCAGUUUUGAUUCUGUGUCUUCUUCGACAGAAAAUGUUGAAAAUCUUGAUAUACUUUAUCCGCUAGAAUUUUUGAACCAACUUGACUUACCUGGUUUGCCGCACCACAAGCUAGCAUUGAAAGUUGGUAUGCCAGUAAUGUUGCUUAGAAAUUUAAAUCAAAGUUGUGGAUUGUGUAACGGGACAAGGUUGGUGGUGAUGCAGUUAACUGAUAGAAUUGUGGAAGCAAAGAUCAUAACGGGUAGCAAAAUUGGUGACAAAGUUUACAUUCCAAGAAUCAUUACGGAGUCAUCAGAAAAUAAAUAUCCGUUUACUUUGCGGCGAAGACAAUUUCCUCUUAGAAUUUGUUAUGCAAUGACAAUUAAUAAGAGUCAAGGACAAUCUUUGAAGAUUGUUGGGUUAUUUCUAUCUCAAACAGUUUUUUCUCAUGGACAGCUCUACGUUGCAUUGUCUAGGGUCACCUCAAAACAAGGUCUUAAAAUUGUGAUUGCUCAUGAUAGUGAUAUGCCUUAUGGAUACACAAAAAACAUUGUUUAUAAAGAUGUUUUGAAUUGUUUACAUGAAGGUGUGUUGAUUUGUGUUUGUCCAUUCAUUUUUUUUUUCUCUUUUUGUCUAUUUUUCAAAAUUCUAAUGUAUUCUUUGUUUCAUGUGUGUUGCACGAUUUUGAGGAUUUUAUUUGCUUCUAAAUUUACUUUAUAUAGAUUGAUGGAGCAUAUGCCAGUUCGUCUUCUGUUACCAUACAAGCCAACAAGAAAACUACAAAUUAGGAUAUGCAGAAUUUGGGUGACAAAAAAUAUUGGAGCUGAUCGUCAACCUGCAAGUUUGGACUGUGUCUUUGUUGACAAAGAGGUUACAUCUUUACACAUUUUUCUCAUUGUUAUAUAGACACAGUUUUAUAUUUGUCGAAAUGCAUCUAUCAUACUUUCAGUAUUAAUUCGAUUUUUCCUUCUCAUUGAUUAACAUUCCAUCUUUUUUGUGUUCAAUUGUGGUUUGCAGAAAUUUCUGAAGUAAAAUAUUCAUUAAAUGUUUUGUGAAAUAGGCAUUUUUCAAUAGCGUAGUUGUGCUGUUGGUUUUUUGAUGAUGUGCUUAAUGUUUAUUUUGGAUUGAAUUUCAACUUCUACAUAGAUUUAUGAUUAGUAAACUCUCAUGGCAGUUUGGAAAUGAUAAUUUGUUCACGAGCUUAUUUACUACUUUAAUGAUUAAUUUAAUUUUGUUUUUCCUCUCUAAAAGGGACAUGCAAUUCAGGCGACCAUGAAACCCUGGGACAUCCAAUUCUUUUUGGACCGUCUAAAAGUUGGGUUCGUGUACAAGAUAGAUAAAUUUCGUCUUAUCAAUAACAGAAAGUCAAACAAAAUUGUCCCUCAUGAUGCCAUGGUUGAGUUGAACAAAAACACUACCAUAGUCCCAGUUGAGAAACCAAAUCAACUGAUCCCGAUGCAUUGGUUUAAUUUAAUUGAAUUUGAUGAGCUUCACAAGAAAGUCGAUAGAGAUGUAAACCUUACAGGUAAAGCGUCUAAUUUUGACUAUUGCCACUACUCUAAAAUUAUUAUUCUUAGUUUUUAACUUAAUUUAGCUUAAACUGGUUCUUAUAACUAUAUCAUACAUAGAUGUUUUUUGGUUGUUUGAUGGCUUUACAACCGAUUGAGGAAAUCACUGUGCAAAAUAUUAGAGUUGAGAAAAAGCGAGACCUCAAACUUCAAAAUACUAGGUGAACCAUACUACUCAUACACUGUUAUUGCAUAUUUAUACAAAUAUAGUCGUAUAAAAAUUACAUAGAAAGUUCUGACUUUAUUUUAUAAUUGUAGAGGUGAACAAGUUACAGUAACACUAUGGGCAGAAACUGCAACAAGUUUUCAAGACGAUGCAUUGCAGUCACUUUCGUCGCCUCUCUUCAUUGUUUUGACUUCACUCAAAGUGAAGAAAUACAAAGGUUAUACCUUAACAAAAUCUAUAUGUGAUCACUUUACUUUUGUAUUGAUAAUUGUUAUCUUUCUAUUUAUAGGAAAACCUGUUUUGGGGAGCACAGGCUCAACAGUUUGUAUUUUCAAUCCUGAUAUCCCACAACUUUCAGAAUAUAAACAACAGUAGGUGAACAAAUCUUAUUUAAUGUUUUUUUUUUGUUUAUGUUUUUACCAUCUAUAUUCUUGAACCAAAAAAUGUGAAAAUCAGGUUUGAACACCUCAAAACACCCAUUGAAAUUCUACAAACUUCUGCUGAAAAGUAUGGAAAGGGUGCUGUUAUAGCUGAUUCUGAACAGAAGACAAUUGAACAACUGCUUCUUCUUGAUCCGGCAUUAAACAAGGUCAAUCCAUUAUCACUAAAUCGUCUCAUGUUUUGUCGAUUUUAUUUUACAACUGCUUUCCAAUUGAUUGUUUGUUGUCAUUUGGAAAUGACAAAUUGUUUCUUAAUCUAUACUGUGUUGUGCAUACAAAGUGUCGUGUUUUUUGUUUCUUUGUUCAUUUAUAAGCUUUUGUGCAAAAAAUUAUACAACUUAUCUUUCAUGAUUCAAUGUACAUUCUCCAAAAUGUUACCUCAUGUCCAAAAUAUGAAUUCUGUUUUAUAAUUUGGGUGGAAAUGCAUAUACUAAGGUACAAGUGUCAUGUUUGGGAGUUUAUUCUUAAAUGUUUUUUGUAUUUGAAAAUUUAAUAUCAUAUCAGAAUACAAGUUUCGUAUGCCAAGCAACAAUUGUCGAUUACGAUUUGACCAAAGGAUGGUGGUACAAGUCGUGCCCGUAUUGCCACAAAAGUGUCAAGAAUACAUAUGGAACUUUCCAGUGCUUUGAACAUGGGUCACUCGAAAAAAUGCCUGAGCCAUGGUAAUUUAUUAAUUUAUUUUUUCUACACUCUUUAUAUCUCUUUGCAAUGAACAUGAUUUUUAUUCCAAGAUUUUUUUUUUAAAUUGCUAAACUUACAUCAUUAUAUCUUUGUCAUUUAUUUAGGUUUAAGAUGAAUUUUAUUGUGGAUGAUGCCACAAAUCAAUUCAACUUCUUAGUGAUCGGAAGGACUGCUGAAAAACUUUUGGGUAUCUCUUGCCACUCUUUGGUCAUAGAAGAAGGCUACGAUGACUCUUCUGUGUUGCCACCGCACCUUCAAAAAUUGGUUGGCAGCACAAAAAAGUUCCAAGUCCGUUUUGGUAAUCAAAACAAUGAGUUUGGCAACACCGACUUUGUUGUUCAUGGAAUAAUUGAGGAAGAAGCAUUAGUUCACCCAAAACUUAGUUCGAUUGUACCACGUACACCUGCUACCAACACCGGGAAACAAGUUAUUGAUGCAGCAACCCCUAUCCCUAUUACUACCCUGGAAUCCCAAAUCCGACAAAUCAAAUCAGUUGCGACAAACAAGAAUGUAAAGAGGACACUAUUUGUUGAAAAUGAAACUUCAAAAACUCACAGGUUAAGUUUCCCCUUCACAUAAUGUUGGUAUUCCAUUAAAUAAAAACAUCAUGCAUGCACUUUAUAACGUUCAUUUCCAUCCUUUUUAAAUUUAACAUGUUUUCACAGCAAACAUGAUGAGGGGAGCCAACCACUGUCUACUAAUUCAACCAGAAUCUCGGCAGAAAUCUCUAACUUGGUUGUCCCAAAAGUUGAACCUGCAGACAAAACGCCGAUCAGUACAUUAAGAAGUAGAUCACAAGCAAAGAAAAUCAAGGACAGGUAUAAUGAGUUAUUGCUUACAAUAAUAUAUGCCAACUUGAACAAUUAUUGAAUUUUUGUUCUUAUUUGCUGCUCAGUGUUGGAGAUGUUCAUUCGCAAAAGAAAUGAGCUAUAGAAGACUUUAUCAUGGACUGCUGCAAAGGAUCGAACAUAUGUAUUUUUUGGCUAUUCCACUGUUAUAAAUAUAUACUUUUUGGGCAUUCCACUACUAAAGUUGUCUUAUUAUUUUAUGCAACUGUUGGAACAAUAGAAAGCCUUGCAGAACAUGUAUUUUGUUAUGUUGCAUGCAGAAACAAAAUAUGUGUAAACUGCAUGGUAUUUCAGUCUUUGAUGCAAAGACACUAUAUUUUAUCAUUUGCAACUUUUGUCAUUAUAAACUUUCCUUCAAGUAAUUUCGAUUGUAUAUUGUCUCUCGAUGUCAACUUAAUAGAGUAGCAAUGUAAAUUGAAUGGCUUAUUUUAUGUAUCAAUUCACCUAUCUUUUACUUUUUCUUUUAUGAAUAUUAUACAUGGUUUGAAUACCCGCAGCAAAGCGCGGGCAUUCCUCCUAGUACUCUUCUAAAUCACUAUUUGUGUUACUUGAAUCUUCUGAGUCUGAAUCUAUCAUGUUAAUACUCUCUAUACUAUAAAUACUCUCAUUAUCACUUAAAUUAUCUAAACUGUAUAUUGACUGAAUAUCCUCAUCUUCUUCUAGCUUAAGUAACUCCAUCAAAUGUACUUUCUCUUUUGACUGUUUACCUAGUUUUGGACAUUUAGGUCUAAUAUGUCCAGCUUCUCCACAUAAAUAACAUUUACAAUUACUCUUAUCUUUUGGUGCUUUAUAUUUUCUAAUCCAAGGUUUGCCACUUCUUUUUCUAAAUUGUUUUGGAAUAUAUUUUCUCUUCCUAUAUGUUCUUGAAGGUCUUAUACUAAAAUUCUUAUGCUGUUUGUACGGUUUAUAUGACUUAUAUUUCUUUUUGUGUAUUUUCUUAUGCUUAUUUUUCUUAUGACAACCAUACUGUUGUGGUAAAUCUAUGUUUUUACAACUCAUGUAAAAUUGUUUCCUAAUUUGUCUCUUAGCUUUUAUUUGACUACACUCUUGUCUAAGUAUAUCGUAUACAUGUUGAAUUCUAGGUCCUAUUGCAAUAUCAUUUUUCUUUGGAUGCUUUUGCCAUUCAUUCCAAAUCUUUUCUCCUAUUGGUCCUUUUAUUUUUGUCAUAUAAGUAUCUAAUAAAUUAAUAUCACUAAUUCUACCUGUUCUACCUAAAUAUUUAAAGAAAUCAGUGGUAUAUUCAGCUAUAUAUUGUAAAUCACAAAUUUGUAAUUGUUCUAAAUUUCUAAUUGCUCUUUUCUGCUCUUGUUCACUUCUGCCAUCUAAUCUAUUAUGAUCUAAAAAUUCUUGUUUAAUCAAAGUAACAAAACCAUCAAUAUUAAAAUGUGUUUUAGCUGCCUGAUGCUGUUCUGGAUUUUGGACUUUCCAUGACUGGAAAUAAUCAAAAACUAAACCAUCUAAAGUAUGCUCAAAAUAAUCUAGCAUAUUUUGUGAAUUACUAAAAUCUAACAUCAAUGCUGCAUGUACGCAACCUUUUUCCCAUCUUUCAAUUGUUCUCUCCCAAUCUUGUGGAUCUACAUUGUCUAAGUUUAAUAUAUUACCAGCUAUAUUAAUUUGUUCUAACCCUCUCAAAUAUGGAAUCCUAUUUUUUCUAGGUUUUAUCAGGCUUUCUUCUAUGCGGUCUACUCUUGCUCCUUCAUUAUAAUGUUUAUUUGUUGGUCUCAAAAAUUGUUGAUCAGUUCUACUUGCUUGUCCUGGAUUUUCUACUCCUGAUGUACUACUUUCUUCUGCUGGAUUACAUUCUUCUUUUAAUUCUAAUAAAUUAUUAUAUUCUUUUGAUCCUAAAAUAUGUUCUACUCCUAUUUCUAAGAUUAAAAUUUUCAUCUCCUCAUCUAAAAUUUUAUGUAGUCCUAAAUCAUAUGUCUUAUAUUUUUCUAAAUACUUUUCUUCAUCUAAAUGAUCAAUAUCUUCUAUAAGCUUGUCUACAAUAUGAUCAAAGUUUUGCUCAACUAAAUUAAUAUCUAGAUUAUCAAAAGCCAUAUGUAUAUUCUCAUUUUCGAUCUCACUCUCAUCCUCUUCUAUUUUUUCUAGUUGUUUAUAAUUACUAAACCUAAUUGUUGCUUGACCUGUACUAGUUUCAUAUAUUUGUACUUUAUCUGGUUGUCUAUUUUGUGCUACUUGUAAAUUGGGCAAUGUCCACUGAGUUCCUUCUAAAAAGCUAUUAUCUACGGGUUUUGCUUCUAUCAUAUUUACAUGCUUACUGCCAAACGUUUGGACUAAAUUUUGAAACUCUAAAUUAAACUUAUGAUUAUAUCUAUCAGACACUUUACCUAUAUACAUUAAGCUAAUACACAAAUUUUUAUAUUCUCCUUUCAUAUUAUAAUUUUUUGUUCUUAUGCUCACUUUAAUAUAUUUUACUAAAUUCAUUAAUCGUCAUAACAUAAUUUGGAAUGCAACCUAUGACUGCUAAGUUUGAACUUAAGUCUACUUCAGCUGUUGCUAUUGCUGCUUGUUGGUGAUUAUCCCAUCUAUCAUCAUAUAUGUAUACUAAAGCCUUUGUACCUACUUGUGCUCUGGUUAAUCCUGCUAUUCCAAUUAAUAUUGUUCCUAUAUGAAUCUGACUAAAAUGUGAUUUUCUCAAAUGAGUAACUGCUUCUUUACUAAUUAGAUUAAGUGUGACUUCUUUAUCAAUACAACUAACUUCAUGUUGACUGAUGCUGCUUACAAUUCUACUUCUGUUUUCAAAUAAACCUAGUUGAUACAAGUUAUAUUUUAUUUUUUCUGUGUUCUCUCAAAACCUCUUCGAAUAAAUUCUUGUGCUUCUUCUUCAUUUGGAUAAAUAUUUUCCGCUCUAACUACUUCUUUUCCUUUUUUCCUAAAGAGUUCCAUUUUCUAUUAUCAAAAGGAUUUAGCUUAGGUCUUCUAUUAUUAUUUGCACUCAAAGUUAAAUUUUCUAAUUUAUCUAGCAAGGAUGGUGGAAGUGAUGAAGAUGCGUUAUGUAAAACUUGGUUUAUUUCUGCUAUUUGUUCUUCAACUUGAUCUAAUUUUUCAGCUAGACUUAAAACUAAUUGGAUAAUCAAAUUAUUUUGCCUAAUGGGAAUAUUACUACUGGAUACUUGUGUUGAAAAAUCUGUUAAUCCUACUGGUUCUUUAUAUCUAAUUUACUAAUUUCUUUCAAAGCUUGAAUAUAUUUUCUGCUAGUUCUAGAAUCUGUCAUUAAACUAAUAAUUUGUCUAUUUUAUUAUGCAACUUAUCUACUUGUUCUCUCAACUCCUUUUGUACGAAUUGAAUUUUUUGAACUUCUAAUUUUAGUUGUUCAACUAUUUCUAAUGACCUAAGUUCUACUUGCUUUGGCUUACUAUCUAUGAGGUCAACAAGCUCUUUUAUCUCUCUUUUGCUAGGAAACCUUUGAAUAUUUUUAUUAUUAUCUUCUAACUGAGAUGUAAUAUAAUCUAAAUUUUGUCUAAUUAUCUUUAUGGAUUUUUUUUGAAAAUGUUCUAACAACUGGUUUAACAAAUGAUUAUGCUUAUUAUUUUCUAAUUUUAUAUUUUCUGCUUGACUAAUAAUAAGAUCUAUAAUACUAUUGGCUUGCGGAUUUUCUUCACUGUGCAAAAUAUGAUUAUGCUUUCUUGAUGGAAAAUAACAAACUAAACUAUUUUGGUCUAAAGUUAUUUUUCUUUUUUGGGGUUCACUAAUUUCUAAAUUAAGAUAAUCUAUCAUAUACUAUAGUCUACCUUUCUCUAAAGUUACAGCUAAUUGGUUUCUUAGAACCUCUCUUUCUUCUCUCAGGGUCUCUAAAACUUGGUCAGUUACUCUUUUUGCUUCUAAAACUUUAUGCUGCACUUCAGUGUUAUUAUAUUUACUAAUAAAUGAAGGAUGUUCAAGAUAACCAAGAUAAAACUUUUGCUUCUUCAAGGUCCUGCUAAUUCUUUUGGAUAUAAAUGAUAGUCUUCUCUUUAUGCUAUUUAUAGUUGGAUGUCUAGGACAAUAAAUACCUGGUAAUUGUGGUUGACAAGGUCUACAGGGACAAUAAUAUCUGUUAUUCAUACAAAAUAAACAAGUGUGUGAUAUCAGUUGCUUUAAUGACUUCCGUCCUCAAGGUACUUUACUAUUAUAAUCAUAUUAUUAAAAUGCUAAACUUGGCUCUGAUACCAAAUUCGAAAAGCAUGCAUGGUUAAAUAGUCAGAUGACCAUUAUAACAACUAGACAUAGAACCUUGCACAUGGAACUCGACAUGUUUCAGCAUGACGGCCACUCACAGUACAAGUAUAAGGCCUUAACGGCUGAACUCAGAGGUACAAAGAACUCAGAGGUACCCUGGUUAAUGUCUAGUUAUUUGUAUGGCAAGCAUUCAACUAUAACAGAGUGCUCGAACAAAGUAUGAUCGUCAGUUUAGCAGAUUAAUAAUAUAAUCACAAUAGUGUUUCCCUGUUUUGGACUAGAAGUCUAAUUAAACAAACACACUAAAGAAGGAAAAGAAAACUUACUUAAGACUUCAAGAUUGCUUGAAUAUGUACACUUGAACUUUUAUUGAUAUAUGGAAUGUUUACAGAGAUGGUUGUUUACAAGAAAGUGAUUACAAAGAAGUGUUUACAAGGAUGCUAUGAAGACUACGAAUGCUUGAGUGUAUGGUGUUUUCAGAUAUUGAGAUAUGUGUGUGGUAUUCAGGUGUCUUCUGUAUGGGAGGAAAAACUCCCUUAUAUACAAAAGCUGAUUCCUAAACAACAAAAUAAUUUUUCAAUAUUUACAACUUUUUGAUGGUGACAACACACUGUUUCUGAAAGCUGUCAGCACUGUUUCUGAAAGCUGUUGAAAGCCACGUGAAUCCAUAUUGUCUUGGUUGCUGCAAAGUUUGCCACCUUAUCUUUGGCAUGCAAAAUUUUUCUGAAAUUGCUAAGCAAUCUUGUAUGGAUGUGUGAAGGGCAUGAUUGGCAUUUUUGCUAAGUUUUGUCCUGAUGAUUAAAGUGAAACUUUUGAGGGUGUUUUGGUUAGUUUUCCAUUUAUUUAAACGUUACAAUUAGUGAUAUACAUGCAAACGUACAUUUUGUUUGGGCUGGAUUAGUUACAUAUGGAGAUGGGGGGAGGGUGUGGAAUGUCAGGGAGAGGAAGGGAGAGGGAGGUCUACAUCUCAGAGCCCAGCUCGAGUCCUUAGGUAAAACCCUAUUGUUCCCUGUUUUUCUUUUCAGCAUCUUACAAAACUAUUUCUUUCUUCAUAUUCUCUUUAUGUUUGGCUGAAAAUUCUGAGUUGCCGACUCCCACUGUCUUCCUUCUCGACUUAUUUGCCAAAAUCUUUUCAGUUUCAGCAGCAGUGGCCACCACUCUUCCCCAAAGGUAAAUUUCUCCUCUUUCUUAGAUUCAUAAUCUUCAAAAUCCUCCUCUACAUCGUUUGAUUUCUGCAAUUUGGAUUCCACAGAAACAUGGACUUGCUUUUUUCUCUCUGCAGCGCUGCCCAUUUUCCACCAAAAUCACAUCUUAAACUCUUCCAAUUUCGAACACGAGAUGUCCGGAGAAGGUCAGUACCCUCAGUCAUACCCAAUUUACCCAAAUAUAAUUUUAAUAUCAGCGAUGGGUUCGUGUUCUCUCGGAAAUUUGCUCUGUUGCUUCCCGCUUUGUUUGACUGCAUCUUUCUUUGUUUUAACUUUCAUUUUUGUUUUGCUUUGUGUUCUCUCGCCGUCAAACGAUGUUCUCUUUUUGUGAGGGUUGUCGUCCCAAAACGUUGUUGUCUUUCUGUGAGAGUUGUUGUCUAAAAAAUUUCUAAAUAUUUCUCUCUCUGUGUAUUGAGUCUAGGAUUUGGGUCUAUUUUGAAGGCAUCUUCCUUUCUGUGAAGCUGAGGAGCAGAUUCGUGAGAUUGAGUAUUCUUCUAAACCCCUCUUUUUCGUUGAUGGGUUUUGUAUAUAUGGGUGAAUUUUUAUAUUUCAUUCUUCAGUUUAACUCGUUUAUUGUGAUAGUGUUACAUACAUAUAAUAUUGAAUUUCGUGGAGUAGACUAAUGCUUAGUAUUUGAUGCUGCUGUACCUUGAAUUUGUUUCAAGUUCUUUUAUAUAAGAUUACCCCUUAUGAAGAAGUGAACUAAAUAGGGUGAUUCUUAUAUUUGUCAAGAUUUGGUUCCCAAAAUUAGUUUUACAUGCAAUAAGAAUAAUGCGGAUUAAAUUGUAGGUCCAAACGUCUCUUGAAGGAGAUGUAUAUACCUAAUGAAUUUCUUAAACAAUGAGUUGCUUAAACAUGAUUUGGAUGGUAAACCUUCUGUUGAUAUACCAAGCUGCCCAGUUUUAGUGUUUGUUGAUAUAAAAGAUGAAAAGCUUGGAGGACGACUCUUUAACGAAUUUUGCUACCUUCUUAAUAAAAAACAGGUAUUUUCUCUCUAUGUAAUUGUCUCUCCUUGAAGAAAGACAUUUUGAAAUGAUUAUUUUAAAAAAGAAAUCUGACCUGUAUGAUUGUAAACGCUUACCCUUCAACGUUUGGAGCCUCAGAAAAAUUUAUGAAGUUGAAUAAGCGUUCUCGAGUAUCUGUGGAUGUGUGAUAUGAAUUAGGUGGAUGAUACAUUAAUCCAUACAUUAGUGCUUGAAAGAUUAGCUGCUGAAACAAGAAUAACAAAUGUUUUUUGCUUUGUUGUUUAGCUGUUAAAAACACGUGUCUGGCCUGUAGGACAUAUAUUUUGCCAUCUUAACUUGAAGGGCAAUAUAAGUGUUAAAUGCAUGUUGCUUAUGUUUCUCAGGAAACAGAGCAUUUUUCGCAAUCGUAUCUUUUGUAAUCAACUCGGUUGAAUGUAUAUAAAAAUCAAACUGCUUAUCUUGCCGACACCUUUCACUCAUCUAUUCCUUUUGUUCGUUCAUGAUUAUGUUGAAUUUUUUUUUCAGGUUAAAUGUCUUAUUCAUGUGGUUAAGGCUGGUGCAUUCAAGUCCCGCAGCAACGCGCGGGCAUUUUUGCUAGUUGCAUCUAAAUUGAGUGUCUAGAUUGCCUACAUACUCUUAGCGGGUUCAAACUGACUUAGUUCGAAAAUGGAUUUGGAAUUUAAUUUGUGUGGCUUCGUACCAUUUGAGAAUUUUGAACUUUGGAAUUUGAUGGGUAUUUUGUAUUAGCUAUUUGCUAACUGAGAAUUUUGAAAUUUGGAAUUUGAUAGGUAUUUUGUGUCAGCUAUUUGCCAUCUGACAUAUGCAUUGUAAUGCACCAUUUUAUAUGACUUUGUAUGAGUUUCCCACCAGUUAUCAGCUAAUUGGCAUUUAGCUAACCUUAAUUUUGAGUUUCGACGACAAGGCCAACUAAUUUGGCUUGGAUUUGUUAAUGGGGAUUCGGGUUUGAAUAUGAAUCUCAUUAACCACUUGGUAGCUUUUCUAUGAUUUGGAUUGCUCUACUUCUUUGAUUGACAUGGCUUUAUAUUCGGAAGAAAACCCCCUGCUUCUCUUGGUCUGUGCUGCUGAACUUUUCUUCCUUUUCGAUUUUUGUCACGGGGCUCCAUGGUCGCACUAGUAACCCUCGCGCCAUAGUCUUCGCUAUAGCGCGAGCGGGAGACACGACGUCUCUGAAAGCAAGUCUGAAGUCCUGUUUACCUUUGAAGUCCCGCUAGCCCUUCUCUUCUUCGUUAACUUUUGAGAAAAUGAAGACUUGUUUUGCUUGUCUUCUUUUGAAAAUUAUAUUCCUUUUGUGACAAUGGAGGCGAUGGGGUUGCCCAUAUUUCUUCAUUUUCUUUUUUUUCAGUAUUAAAUUCUUUCUUCCCCUUACUUUUGUUUUGUAGCUUCUGUCAUUUGUCUCCAUGCUUUUGUUUAAGCUUUACCCAAUAUUUGAUCAAAAUGAUAACCAUGUAAAUGGCAUUCAAGUUAUCUGGAGGACCUUACACCUUUUUCUGGAGUAUUAUUCUUUGAAGAAUGGAGCAGCAGCAGCGUGCCAAAUUCUUGGAGACAUGUUCUUCUAUUUUUUAUUCAACUUUCGCCAACAAGCUUCUGGGUAAUUUCUCUAGGUUAAGGAAGAGAACGUGGGAUCAUCUCAAAUGUCUCCUUCUUGCUGCCUUCUUUUUAUUGUUGUUUGCUGGCGAUGAUAACAGUACAACUUCAUCUAGGUAUUGCUUAACCUUGGACGCUAUGUUGAGAAUGAAUCUCACAUCAAUUGGAGGAGAGGCAUUGCAUCAGCUUAUAAGUCAGUUGGUUUACUCCCAUAUUGCUAAUUGGUUUUAUAGUAGAAUCUCACUUUUUUUUCAUGGUAUACAAUGAGACCGGGUAACUUCAAUCCACCUCACCAAAUUGCCAAUUUUCCCAGUCCUCUGCCUCCCGGGCCAAGGAAACAUAAUCAAAUUCAACAAAACUCUCCUGCUCACUCAACUCGACACGAGAUCCCACAGGCUCCUAAUCAACAGUUCAACAAACAAUCUCGCAUUUGCCUCUGGUAAGUCGGCGUCUGAUCAUGGAGGAGGACAACUUUAUGAUCCAUUCUCGCUCAGCAAGUCAUUAGCAGGGAGGUAAUCCGGGAAACAUGUGGAAGCAAGAGAAUGAUCUAUUUAUUACUAUGGUUAUUUAUUAUACAAGCAACAAUGCAGAAGGGGUAUUCGACGAUAAAACCUGAGGUGCAAGAGUAAAAACACUCUUUUACCCACUUGAGCAAUAAGCCCCUUGCCUUUCCAUUUCCUUGUUAAUUGCCUAAUUCUCGACACAUUAAAUUAAAUGCACUACUCGCUCACAAGUCACAAAUUGCUAAAAUAAAAUCAACUGGGAUAGGAAAACGGUGAUCCCAUAAACAUCCAUCAUAGGGAGGAAUUACAAAAGUUCAGGUUUAAGUGGCCUCGUUAAAAUCUUGAUCGGAGAAAACCCAGUGGGAAAAACUCCAAACGUAGAAAAGAGUACCACAUUUAUAUUACAAAUCCGGAGAGCUCAUACACUAGAGUUGCGAGCAGCGCGGGAGAAGAAACCUUGGCUUAGAAAUAGGCAUGGUUGUCUUUAGAGAAUCGCUCUCAAUGCAAACACAAAACCAGCCCUACUGUAGUUUGUCAGCCAAAUCUCAAAUGAAUGCCUCUCAAAACAGUCACUCCUGAAACCCCAAAAUCUUGAGGACACAAAUAAAAAAAACACUUAAAACAUUUUACCAACUUGAGGAAUAUUGUGGAUUACUUUAAUUACGAGAAUAAAGACGAUUAACAAUACUAUUGAAAAGAUGAUACCUGGACCUGGAGACUAGGAUCGAAUCGACCAUCAGCUUCGCAUCAUCUUAAAAUCUCUACGCUAUGUAAGGGAUGUGGGAUAUUUUGUGCCAGUAGCGUCCUUUUCCUCGUUCGCAUCUCUCUUUUAGCACAGGACACCUAGAGAUGAGAAGUUGUGUAAGUGAAGGAGGAAGACCCUCUUCUGGAAUGGAUGCUAGUCGAAAACAACUGGAGAGAUGUAGAGAUUGAAGAGACGUUAGGGAUUGAAAGCCUUUGCUGCUCAGUUUCAUCAGAUUCGGGAAACCACAAAUUAAUAGUCCAAUGAGAGAUUUGGGGAGGAGUGUCUCCGUCUGGACCACGUCGGGUGGAAACGAUACCAUAUCCGGGUCAUUGCCGUAGAUCCAUAAUUUUCUAAGAGAGGUGAGUCUGUGCAAUCCCCACUCCAACUCCCACAAUGACUUACAGCUCUUGACUUUCGAAAUUGUAAGUGAUGUGAGGUUGGCGGGAAAGAAGCAACUCAAACCUUCACGGUAGUCAAUGGUCAAUUCCUCAAGAGAGUUGAGAUUGCGCAUGGCUUCGGGUAACACCUCCAAUUUGUCGCAAUCGGUUAUCUUGAUCUCUCUCAGGUUGGAGGCUUUUCUCCCCCCACUUAGUCUGGGGAUAGAAACAAGACUUCCACAGUAAUAAAUAUCCAACGUUUGAAGAUUGAUGAGGUGGUAUAAGCCAUCUAGUAAGUAUUUCAGAUUUUGGCACUUCCAGAUCCUUAUAUAUUCAAGACACUGAUUAGUAUUGUAGUGGGAGAACCCGUCCUGUACAAUUAACUCCAGCUGUAAACAAUCGUAUAUCUCAAGGUGUUUAAGUGUCCUAAGAAGCUGGCCGCUCAAUGAUAACGACGUCAGAGAUUGACAUUCCUGGAUUUUCAAGUACUCAAGGCAAAUGUGAGAAGACAACAGAGAAGAACCAACAACCUCCUCAUCUACUAGUGAUUUCAAACUUUUACAGUCACUUAUCUGUAUUCUUCUGAGAUUUUGGGGAACCUGAAAUUUUGCCAAAUAUAUCAACGAAUGACACUCUGUAAUCUUGAUGUCUUUAAGAGAAGGUGGCAGACCAACAUCCUCAAAAGAAACCAGACGUGGACAUUUGUGUAUGCAAAGCUGUUGAAGAGACGACAACUGAUUUAACCCUUUUGGUAGCUUCAAAAUAUUUUCGCACUUCUUUAACUCCAGACAUUCAAGCUUGCACUCCAAUAUUUGCAAUUGCAGCAACUCCUCUGCUUCUUUUCCCAAUUCUUCAACUAGAGGAGAGUUGUCUUCAAUUUCCAAACGGCCAAGAGAAGUCAACUGUUGCAAUAAUCUACCCUCGUUCUUCAAUGAAGACAUCAGCUCCUCACAUCCAUUAAUCUUCAAAUCUCUAACCUUGGUUAAUCCCUUCUGGAACAAUUCCCCUGUUUGCAGAGACAUGAGCUCCGAAAUGUUUGAAAGGCACAAGGACUCUAACAACUCAAACUCAACCUUAGCAGCUGUAUGCACCAACACUUUACAACAGUCAAUGUUUAAAUGACGAAGUUGUUUGUGGUUGGCAAUUGAAACCACUAAUUCUUCACAUUUAACAAUUCCAAGCUUUGCUAAAGAAUUGAGGUUCUCUGGCAACUUACCCCCCAGUUUUGAACAUUUUUUUACAAAGAGCGUUUUCAGGCAAGGGAAAACACCAUUUCCACGAUCCAAUUGGAAAGGAAGCCAUUCCUUCCAAUGUUGCAUAUCCACAAACUCAAGAGUCUCUAAUAGCGGAAAAGGCGAGAUGCACUCUCCAUAAAACUCAGCACCAACACUUUCCACUGCAUUCAUUCCUCUAAUAUAAAGUUCUUUGAGCUGAGGCAAUUGUCCAAGAGGUGGCAACGAUAAACAAUUGUUACAUUCCUCUAACCGCACAAGCACCAUAUUAGAGAACAAAGAAACUGCAACCCAUGAUGAAAAUUCCUUUCCGGCAUAACUCUUGAUGGUGAGCUCCUUGAGCUUUGUAUGAGGCUGUAACAUGUCAAGCACAGCAGAUUCCGUUUCUCUUGUGUUGCUUGAAUGAGACCAUUCUAGGACCAAUGAAUCAAGCCUCUCCUUGCAUUUUAAGUUGGCCCUCCGAGCAUCCUCGACAUCAAUCACAUUCUCCAAUCUUGAGAUGCACAAUGUCCCGCGGAGAUGCAAUAGGAACUCUAUCUCCCUUAUCCUUGAUCCAUCACUACCACCACUGACCACAAAAUUAGACAAUGAUUGGAGAUUCACCAUUCUACCCAGUUGUGGAGGCAUUCCUCCCAACGAAUAUGCAUCCAAGUUGUUUAGAUGGCGCAAAUUAAUUAGAUUACUCAUCUUCGCAGGCAAUGACUUCAAUUUAGAACAACCUUCCAAUAUCAAUGUUUGCAAGCUGUAAAGAGUGCUUGUUGAUUCAGGCAAACUGGUUAUAUCUGUGUAGGAAAGGUCAAGAUACUGUAACAACCUCAAAUCACCAAUUGAGUUUGGCAGCUCAGUUAUUUUGUAGCCAUUCAAAGAGAGCACUCGUAAGUAUUGCAACUGUGGUAGUAACUCAAAAAUAACCUUAUGAGACAAAUAUUUACUCCACCACCUGGAAUCUGAAAGCGAUAGUGGCAGGAAUGUUCGCAAACGUUCAACUUUAGGAAAGUCCUCAAAUCUGGUAACUCCAUCAAAUUGACCAGCAAUGAAAGACGAAUGGCGAGCCCUUCGAAAGCAGGUGCGUUGCAAGUUAUCACCUUGCUUAUCUUCCAACCUAGAACAUAUUUCUCCUGCUGCCCAUUGUGCUAAAUCAUUAACGAGGUCAUGCAUUACAAAUCGUGAAUUGUUUUUGCUUGAUUCUUGAAACAACGACCUUGAUAAUAGCUCUCGAAAGUAGUCACGGCCCAAAUCCUCCAUUUGUUUAUUGUCUUCAGGUUUUUGUUGAAUCAAACCCUCUGCCAUCCACAAAAGGACGAGUUGCUUCUCCCUAAAUUCAUAGUCGUUUGGAAGUAUUGAGCAAUAGGCAAAACACCUCUUCAAAUUUGAUGGAAGAUAGUGAUAGCUCAACUUUAGUACGGGGAGAAUGUCACUCUUAUCUGCUAUAUUCCACAAUUUGUUGUUCAAUAUUUCUUCCCACUCAUCUUUUUCUUUGCAACGUAAAAGGCCACCGAGAGUCCUUGCAGCAAAUGGUAAUCCACGACAUUUUUCGACAAUUUUUCUUCGAAUUAACUCAUAAUUUACUGGUUUUCCAUCGUUAAGUUCCCCGAAUGCAUGUCGCUCAAAUAUUUCCAAACAAUCAUCAUCUCUCAUGCACUUCAAAUUAUGGACUCCAGCGGCUCCCAUAAACUUGGCAACAUUCACAUCACGGGUUGUCACAAGUAUCUUACUUCCUCCAGCUCCGACGCCAAAAGGGGAUUGAAGUCUUGUCCAGAGAUCGUAUAGAUCAUAGUCACCUUUGUUCCAAAUAUCAUCUAAAACGAUUAAAAACUUUUUUCCUCUUAACUGCUCACUCAAAUCAUGCUGCAUUUUACUAAACUCCUCGACUUGAACGGGUCGGGAUGUGAUUGAUUCAAGAAUUGCCUUUGUCACUCGCACAACAUCGAAGUCAUCAGACACAGAUACCCACACCUUUGGCUCAAACUCCUUCAUGGCAUCAUCUUUGUGGUUGAAUACAAGUUGAGCAAGUGUCGUCUUCCCGACUCCGGGCAUCCCAACUAUAGCAACUACACCAAAAUUGACAGUACCUGCAUGCUUGUAUUUUCUUGACAACAAUUCGAUAAUCUCCCCUUUGUCAUCAUCUCUUCCAACAACAAGCUUUUCAUCUAACACGCCUGCACUUUGUAAACUUCGUGAUUCCUUAGCAGACGUCCCAGUAUCUUUCAAGCCAAACUUUUCUUUCCGUUCAGAUAUGUCUUGCAACCGCUCCAUAAUCUUCUUCAUUUCGGAGUUCAUAUCAAACCUCAAUUUAACUUUAUAAAAUGAUCUCCGUAUCUUGUUGCUUGUGUUGGCUUGUUCACGUCCCUCUAUCAUGCGCUUCAACAUUUGUGUGGCAAAUUUGUCCAACGUGUCUUCGAUAUCAUAAGCCAAAUCUCUGAGAUCAUCGAGCCACAGUUUUACAGCACCCUCAGUCAGUUGCCUUUCCUCGGCAUCACUCACCACCACUCCGAUUGUAGAUAACGUGGUCCUCAACUUCUCCAGCUUCCUUCUGACGCCCCGGAAGUUUCCAAAGUAGUUGAGAAUCUCGCGAGGGGUCAACCUGUCGAGCAGCAACUGUAGAAACGCCGCAAGAAAAAUCUCUCCCAGUGCCAUAUUAAGCGUGAACUGACCUCCAAGCAAUCAAAGAAACGGCGAACCGUUCUUGAGCGAUAUUGAGGUGCAGAACUCAACGAAAGGAAGAGUAACAGUCAAAGCCUAGUUCCUUGCAAAUUUGGAAGCUUGAUCUCUUGAGACUCAGAAAUAUUCACAACUGCACAAAUUAAAAUGAUAAGAACUAAUUGUUGAUGCCUGCGCAAUCAUAUACAAAUUUAUAGUAAAUGUGAAAUAAUCAAUGGACUCCUAGUAAGCAUAUCUAGAGGUGCCAAUUUGAGACUUGGGAUGGCAACAUGGCGGAUUCAGAUCAAGGUUGCCUACAUCAUAAGUUUGAUAACCGUCCCGCCACUAUGUAUACAGUCCCUGUUACGUUUUAUGGAAAUAUUCUUUUCCUUAAUAUAUACAAAAUAAUCUAACAACUUGAUAUUGUGUCUAAAGCACAAUAAAACACACCAUAUAAUGGCGCUUUACAGCAAUGUCGGAAAACAAUCAUACUUAUGGAUUCGAUCUCCACCGAUCCCCUCCCCCUAACAACUAGCAAUUUUACCGACAACACUAUCAUUUGUCAAAAAAAAAAACGUCAUAUAAUAUUACUCAGUAACAAAGUACAAAAAAAACACCAUAUAAAUUUGAAAGACCGGGAAAAAGAAAAGCUCAAUAUUGCAAAAAUCAUAUAAUAGUAUAUAUUAUUUUCAUAAAUUUUGCCAUAUUGAACGGAAAAAUGGGUCAGUUUUGGGAUUACCCGUAACUGUAGGGAUCCUUGCAAUCCUGCGUUUCAAGACUCGAAACUUGCUCGAAUAUUGGACAUGAUCUGUAGCCAGGAAGUCUGUCAGGUCAUGACGGCACUUGUUUGCAUGGAUCAGUUUGCACUUACGAUCAACAAAUUCAGGGUGAAUGAUGGAAUAAUUAAGGCAGGCUGAAAAUUGCACAAAUUGUAUAGCUGGUUAUUGAUGAAAUAAUUAAGUAUACAAACUUGAAGAAAAAUGAAAUAAUUAAUCUAUAAAUAAUGGAUUUGGCAUAUAUAGUUGCAAGAGGAACUUACUGCAUUCAAGUUUUCAGAUGAUGAUGAAGAUGAGAUGAAGAUGAAAGGACUUGUUUCCAUAGAUCAUAUGUGAAAAUCAACAGAUCUAGACGACUUUAGAGCUCUUCAAUGCUACGAUAAUUAGGCGUUGACUUGGAAGACUAACAAGUCUUCGUCUUUCUGCCUAAAACAGUCUUGGAUUCCUCUUUUUUCUCUUAUCUUUAAUUUUCGUGGGGUCAUAUUGUUUUGUCGUUUUUAAUUGCUUUCUUAUCUCCCAGGUCCUUUUAUAUUUUUAGAAAAAGAUUCUCUCCGGAUUUUUUUUUUUAGAGAUUCGAAUAAUUAAUCAAUCAUGUCCGUCGUAAGUUAUUUAUAUACAAUUUAAAAUUUAAUUUAAAUUUUUUUGUGACCAUAUGAUAUAUGAUAAACAAACAUGAUUAAUUGAUCUUCUAGAUCUCUACAAAGAGAAUCUUUUUCCAUAUUUUUUUUAGAACUUUAACGAAAAGCUUCCGGUACUAUUUACUUCAACGAAAAAUCACAUUUUUACACUAAAAAAUCAAUCAUAAUACUAUUCACUUUAUCUUUUAUUUUAUCCUUAUUAUUAAGACUCAAAAUUUUUAACUCUUUUUUAUUAGUUUUCCUUUUUUUUUUUUUUAUCGUUUCCUCCCUUUGUACGAGAGAUUUCGGGAGAUGUGUACCAAACAUGGAACUUCGGAUGGAAGGGUGACUAUUUGUAAACAACUAAGCUAUAUUCUCUUGGAACACUGAUUAUAUUAAUUUUGUGGGAUGUGUUAGAGAAAUCAUAUUUUAAACUAUAUUUAUAAAUUAAAUGAUGUAUCAUCAAUAAAAAAAAAUAAGUACGUUAGUCAAUAUUUAAGUAAUAAUCAAAUCAUCAACAUUUACAUAAUUUGGUUUACAAAAUUUUAUUUAAAAAUUUGGCUUUCCUAACAUUAUCCUAUUUUGUGAGGGUGUUUGGUUCAAUUUUUUGUCGGCCAUUGUAAACAAUGUAGGGACAAUCAAUUUAAAACGGUAAAAGACUGAAACAACCCAAGGGCUCUAUACACCAGAUUUACCAAAGUUAUCGUGGAUUAUGCUUUUACCAUCUUGUAGUUAUACUACUUAAUAAGUCAUAGAGCUAUAUUAUAUUAGAUCAAUUGAAUUAAUAAUUUUUCAUGGUCAUAGGGUAUUUGUAUGAUGACCCAUGUGGUAAAAAAAAUUAGAAAUUAAACUCCUGUUACUAAGACCGUCAACAAAUUUAGCUCAAAAAUAGAACUUACUAGCAGGAAUGCCCGCGCUCUGCCGUGGGAUUUGAAACCGUCUCUACCAUCAACCAAAAUAAUUCUAUAAUUUAAACCAUCCAAACUUGUUUAACAUAGUUUUUUGUCUAUCAUUAUAUAUUUCCUCUCACAAUUUUUAUGGAAUAAAAAUCUAAACAUUAAAAAAUUUAAACAAAAUUUUGCAAAUAAUCUUGCAUUUAAGCACGUUCAAAACCAGUGGCUCUUUCAAUUUUUUUCUAAACAAAGAAAAGGAAAAGUGUUCAUCACUGAUAUUGUGCAUCCAAUGUACUGGUUUCUUGUCCACCUUCUCCUCCUAACCCUUUUAUCAAUAACCCAUCUCAUUAUGUUCCUCAGAGACUCGAAACCCAAUUCCAGCGGUCCAUUUAACACCUCCUAAUAUCAAUUCCUAACAAAAUAAAUACAAACGCAAAAUCAGCAGCGCUUUCAAAUAUUUUAAAGGGAAAGUGGGAAAAUAUUAUCAAGAAAGAUGCAAACGAAGUAUAUUCAUCACUGAUAUUGAAGAGAAAACGAAGUGUAUUAGUAUAUUCAUCUUUCCCCAUUCCUUGUAAAGUUGAGGAAUUUUUUCUUAACAUCUGAACGAAAAGUAAAAUAACGCUAAUACACUCAAUUACAGCACACAUAAGCUCGUGAACAAAUUAUCAUUUCCAAACUGCCAUGAGAGUUUACUAAUCAUAAAUCUAUGUAGAAGUUGAAAUUCAAUCCAAAAUAAACAUUAGGCACAUCAUCAAAAAACCAGCAGCACAACUACCCUAUUGAAAAAUGCUUAUUUCACAAAACAUUUAAUGAGUAUUUUACUUCAGAAAUUUCUGCAAACCACAAUUGAACACACCAAUCUCUAUAUAAUUCAGGAACCAAUCAAAGCAGCUGAAUACACAUGGUAAAAUAAAUGUUGCAGUUUGAUUUUGUAUUCUAUAAACUUUACAUUAACGAAAUACAUUUAGGGAUUAGUACUACAAUGACAUUGCUCCAACAUCAAUUACAAAUCUUUUGAGAACAAAUAAACAGAGUAGUGAGAGCUCGUACCCGAAGUGAGGCAUAUGAUCACCCCUCCUCAAGUUCCCAAGAGUAACUGAAUGGCGGGGCAGCCCCUACAGAAUGUUUUUUAAUCGAUUCGGUAGUUAACACUGGUCAAAUGCACAAUACAUAUCUUAGAAACUAUUGUCAGUUAACUUCUAAAGAAGUUAGAGCAAAAAUUACCUCCAAUCUUUGUUUCUCUUGUACUUUGGUAUUGUGGGGUUGACUUGUAAACGGUAAUAGAACUCAUGUAAGCUGAAUAAUAAAAAGCCUUUUUUUAGUUAACUAAAAAGCACUUGUAAACGGAGUGAGAUAUCUGGUAACCAAAAAAUGAAUCUUGGAAAGCAGACAUAAACAAACUUCAAUCACAAUUACUUUAAUACAUUUGGAUAUCGAGGAAAAUUAGAUUUAUUCAAUUUCGAUAUAAAGAAAAUUAAUUAAUGCAGGUACAACAUUUGUGCCUCAAUGACAUGAGAAGUACUCAAAACAAACAUUGUUUUCUUUUUGUCUUUAGGCAAUCUCUGCAAAUCGCAAUGAGUUCUCUAACUCAUAUACAUUGAUAAUCAUAUUAACUAAUUAACUUGCUAACCCCUCCUGUUAAUUUCACACUUAUGCUCCAAACAGAUUUUGUAACUAAUAUCCCAAAAAGGGAGGAAAAAGGGAAUAAAAAAACCUUUGUAUGGUAUACUGCAGUGUUAUCUGUGUAAGCGUAGUUAAGCCCUGAAAGGCCAACAACCUCCUUGUAUACUUGGAAACCUCUUGCAGAUUUUAUGGCUCCAGAAGAAAAUAGAUCAUGCAACAUUAAUAUCAUUAAGACUAAAGUAUUUUUCUGAAGUGAAUACACAUGAAAAGUAUCAAAAAGAGAGAAGGAGAAAAAAUUAAAUAAAUAAGAACUGCACACCUGUCCUAUAAUUUGGCCAGACAGGCAUUUUGCUACCGAGGCAAAAUUCUCAAUAGCCCAAGCAUCAGCCUAUCAGAUGAAGAAAUAUUCAUAAGGGAAAAAGUAAGCUUAAACAGGAUUUCAUAUAUAUGAACUCACUCUUAAAUUACUUGUCCUAUUACCAAAUAGCUAUUGGAAAUGGUUUGAGUUAUAAAACCUGACUCUAAACAGGCCUGAUUCUUAUCAAAUAGCUCUUGAAAAUUUGAUAUGCAAAAACUGAAACAAAGAAAUAGAUCCCAAUCUCAUCCCACAACGAACAAUGAACCAAAGUUACAUGAACAAAAACAAUGUCAACAUUUCAAGCUGUGCAAAACUAAACUCAUUUAGGAAAGCACAAAGUCAUACAUCCAAUCAUGUCUCAUUCAAAAUUCCAAUACUCGAUUCUAAAGAAUAAAGGAAGCAAUAGCACUCAAAAUCAAUAAUUGUAAAGAAUACUGAGGGCAAUAGCAUUCAAAAUCAAUAGUUCGCAAGUCUCCAACCAGCAUAGCAAAAUGCAAAGAGAGCAAGUCUCCAACUCUCCAACCAACGUAACAAAAUGUCAAAAAUCAAAAUGCUUAUGGCAUUAGUACAACAUAAAGUUCAAAAUAUUAGCAAUAAAUUUAAAAAUGCCUUAUCUAAUAUCAUUGAGGGCAUAAGUUGGAAGAUAAGACAAAAAACAAAAAGGGGUUGAUGCAGGCAAUAUAAAAAGCAUAAGAAAGGAAAGAUACCCAAAAUCCAUCACAAAUCAUAGUGAAAAUUUGUGUUAUAGCAACCUUAAAUUCAAAAAUUUCUCUAGUUUUCCAUGUUUUCUCAUCAAACAAACAACAAAUUCAUAUAAAAUCAGAAAAGUAAAAUUACUAGUAGCAGCGUGCUCCGGGGCUCGUAUGACGGCGUUCCUCCACCAGCAACGGCGUCGAGAUUGUUUUCUGAGGCAAGGAUUACACAGGAAGUCCGUAAAAUUCAUGGACAUCUGCAAGAAAACAAAACCACUGAAAGUCAGAGAUUUCCAAAACCGAAAAGAAAUGAG
Molecule: long non-coding RNA, 39098 nt
Filed under: Malus domestica (apple)
Lineage: Eukaryota; Viridiplantae; Streptophyta; Magnoliopsida; Rosales; Rosaceae
Description: long non-coding RNA (MDOM_LNC009909)
Source: RNAcentral